RNAcentral lists this ribosomal RNA (878 nucleotides) under uncultured bacterium. RNAcentral's name for it is "SSU rRNA". It matches the Rfam family "Bacterial small subunit ribosomal RNA", at positions 524 to 1381 of the family's 1533-position model. The record is from RNAcentral.
UACGUAAGAUCCAAGCGUUGUCCGGAUUUAUUGGGUUUAAAGGGUGCGUAGGCGGUAUAUUAAGUCUGUGGUGAAAGCCUGCAGCUUAACUGCAUAAUUGCCUCUGAAACUGACAUCCUUGAGUGUGGUUGAGGUGGAUGGAAUGCAUCAUGUAGCGGUGAAAUGCUUAGAUAUGAUACAGAACACCGAUUGCGAAGGCACUCCGCUAAACCAUUACUGACGCUGAUGCACGAAAGCCUGGGGAGCGAACAGGAUUAGAUACCCUGGUAGUCCUUGCUGUAAACGAUUGAAACACUACGAUGUCUGGCGGAAUACACAUGCCCACUCCGUCCGACGCGAAAACCAGUUAAGUGUUCCACCUGCCUGAGUACGAUCGCCAGGUUGAAACUCACAGGAAUUGACGGGGGACCGCCCAAGCGGUGGAGCAGGUGGAUUACAUCGAUGAUACCAGAGGAACCUUUUCAGGGCUUAAAUGGGGUCGGACCCCUGCCGAAAGGUGGCUUUUUUUAGGCAGAGAUGUCAAGGUGCUGCAUGGCUGUCGUCAGCUCGUGCCGCGAGGUGGUGGUCUAAGUCGCCUCAACGGAGACGCUACGCCCUUUUUUGUAGUUGGUAAGCGCGGUAACUCAUGAGGACUCUAAAGAUGCUGCCUACGUAAGUAGUGAGGAAGGUGGGGACGAUAAUCAAGUCGUCAUGGCCGAUACGUUCUGGUCUUCACGCGCGCUACAAUGGGGAUUACAAUGAGCAGCCACUGGCCGACACGGAGCAAAUCUCAAAAAAAUCGUUUCAGUUUGGAUUGGAGUUUGCAACUUGGCUCCCAGAAACUGGAAUCGCUAGUAAUCGCAGAUCAACCAUGAUGCGGUGAAUACGUUCCCGGGCCU